GAUGAACGCUGGCUACAGGCUUAACACAUGCAAGUCGAGGGGAAACGACGGGGAAGCUUGCUUCCCCGGGCGUCGACCGGCGCACGGGUGAGUAACGCGUAUCCAACCUGCCUCUGACUGAGGGAUAACCCGUCGAAAGUCGGCCUAAUACCUCAUGGUAUCGUCUGCGGGCAUCCAACGACGAUUAAAGAUUUCAUCGGUCAGGGAUGGGGAUGCGUCUGAUUAGCUUGUUGGCGGGGUAACGGCCCACCAAGGCUACGAUCAGUAGGGGUUCUGAGAGGAAGGUCCCCCACAUUGGAACUGUGCCCCGGGCCAAACUCAUACGGGAGGGAGCAGUGAGGAAUAUUGGUCAAUGGGCGAGAGCCUGAACCAGCCAAGUAGCGUGCAGGAAGACGGCCCUAUGGGUUGUAAACUGCUUUUAUGCGGGGAUAAAGUGAGGGACGUGUCCCUCAUUGCAGGUACCGAAUGAAUAAGGACCGGCUAAUUCCGUG
Molecule: ribosomal RNA, 491 nt
Filed under: uncultured bacterium
Lineage: Bacteria
Description: partial 16S ribosomal RNA
Rfam family: Bacterial small subunit ribosomal RNA
Source: RNAcentral